GAUGAACGCUGGCGGCGUGCCUAAUACAUGCAAGUCGAGCGAACAGACGAGGAGCUUGCUCCUCUGACGUUAGCGGCGGACGGGUGAGUAACACGUGGAUAACCUACCUAUAAGACUGGGAUAACUUCGGGAAACCGGAGCUAAUACCGGAUAAUAUAUUGAACCGCAUGGUUCAAUAGUGAAAGACGGUUUUGCUGUCACUUAUAGAUGGAUCCGCGCUGCAUUAGCUAGUUGGUAAGGUAACGGCUUACCAAGGCGACGAUGCGUAGCCGACCUGAGAGGGUGAUCGGCCACACUGGAACUGAGACACGGUCCAGACUCCUACGGGAGGCAGCAGUAGGGAAUAUUGCGCAAUGGGCGAAAGCCUGACGGAGCAACGCCGCGUGAGUGAUGAAGGUCUUCGGAUCGUAAAGCUCUGUUAUUAGGGAAGAACAAAUGUGUAAGUAACUAUGCACGUCUUGACGGUACCUAAUCAGAAAGCCACGGCUAACUACGUG
This 497-nucleotide ribosomal RNA is filed under the name uncultured bacterium. Its description in RNAcentral is "partial 16S ribosomal RNA". It matches the Rfam family "Bacterial small subunit ribosomal RNA", at positions 28 to 507 of the family's 1533-position model. The record is from RNAcentral.